UUUGAUGGAAAACCAGCUGUCUCUGCCAAGCAAAUGUUGGACUUUUUGCCUGCACAGACCCAGCAUGAAGCACCCUAUUUGCUGACUAAUGCAUUGCUGUUGUUGGUGAUAGGAAUUCAGAGAAGAAAAAGAAAUUUAAGUGGUGGCUUGUGUGGCUCAGACCUCAUAUGACCCUGGUGUAACCAAUCAGAACACUGCUUCUCUCUGCCCAUAGCGAUGAUGCUUUCAAGGUCAGACAUGUGACUCAAGCAAUGAGGGGAUUUCCCCAGAUCCCUGGAAUGAUUACACUUUUGGCUGAGAUGGCUACACUUCAAGAAUGUAACCCCGGUGCUUCAGUGACAUGAGAAUACUGUGUGAGGAGGAGGCCAAUCCAGAGGAGAAAACAGCUGGAGAAAACAAGAAUCACUGACAUCAUUUGAGCCCCUGACAACAUCAUGAGCCAACUUUCCCCCUAAAUGUUUUAAUUACAUAAGUCAAUACAUUUCCUCUUUUUAAGCCAGUUUGGGUGGG
Non-coding RNA from Miniopterus natalensis, 510 nucleotides. Lineage: Eukaryota; Metazoa; Chordata; Mammalia; Chiroptera; Miniopteridae. The record is from RefSeq and is a predicted model, not a curated record.